GGACCGUAACAUGUGCGGAUCCAAUGCGUUUCACGAGUAAACACAAUUAAAUACCGCCAGGAUUCCAUGUGAACCGGGACGGGAGG
RNAcentral lists this non-coding RNA (86 nucleotides) under Geotalea uraniireducens Rf4. RNAcentral describes it as "pan motif". It matches the Rfam family "pan motif". The record is from RNAcentral. Lineage: Bacteria; Pseudomonadati; Thermodesulfobacteriota; Desulfuromonadia; Geobacterales; Geobacteraceae.